GCGUCUGAUUAGCCAGUUGGCAGGGUAACGGCCUACCAAAGCGACGAUCAGUAGCCGGCCUGAGAGGGUGGACGGCCACAUUGGGACUGAGACACGGCCCAAACUCCUACGGGAGGCAGCAGUGGGGAAUAUUGCACAAUGGGGGAAACCCUGAUGCAGCAACGCCGCGUGAAGGAAGAAGGUCUUCGGAUUGUAAAGCUCUAUCAGCAGGGAAGAAAAUGACGGUACCUGACUAAGAAGCCCCGGCUAACUAC
Molecule: ribosomal RNA, 254 nt
Filed under: uncultured bacterium
Lineage: Bacteria
Description: partial 16S ribosomal RNA
Rfam family: Bacterial small subunit ribosomal RNA
Source: RNAcentral